GUCUUUGGCUGUCCGAGUUGUAAACUAGAGAAGUGAUGCCCGCGCUGGACCGUGUACAAGUCUCCUGGAAUGGAGCGUCAUAGAGGGUGAGAAUCCCGUCUCUGACACGGACUACCAGGGCUUUGUGGUACGCUCUCAAAGAGUCGAGUUGUUUGGGAAUGCAGCUCAAAAUGGGUGGUAAAUUCCAUCUAAAGCUAAAUAUUGGCGAGAGACCGAUAGCGAACAAGUACCGUGAGGGAAAGAUGAAAAGAACUUUGGAAAGAGAGUUAAACAGUACGUGAAAUUGCUGAAAGGGAAACGCUUGAAGUCAGUCGCGUUGGCCGGGGAUCAGCCUCGCUUUUUGCGUGGUGUACUUUCCGGUUGACGGGUCAGCAUCAAUUUUGACUGCUGGAAAAAGGCAUGAGGAAUGUGGCAGCUCCGGCUGUGUUAUAGCUUCUUGUCACAUACAGCGGUUGGGAUUGAGGAACUCAGCACGCCGCAAGGCCGGGUUUCGACCACGUUCGUGCUUAGGAUGCUGGCAUAAUGGCUUUAAGCGACCCGUCUUGAAACACGGACCAAGGAGUCUAACAUGCCUGCGAGUGUUUGGGUGGAAAACCCGAGCGCGUAAUGAAAGUGAAAGUUGAGAUCCCUGUCGUGGGGAGCAUCGACGCCCGGACCAGAACUUUUGGGACGGAUCCGCGGUAGAGCAUGUGUGUUGGGACCCGAAAGAUGGUGAACUAUGCCUGAAUAGGGUGAAGCCAGAGGAAACUCUGGUGGAGGCUCGUAGCGAUUCUGACGUGCAAAUCGAUCGUCAAAUUUGKGUAUAGGGGCGAAAGACU
This 818-nucleotide ribosomal RNA is filed under the name Leucoagaricus sp. MEL 2292682. Its description in RNAcentral is "eukaryotic LSU rRNA". It matches the Rfam family "Eukaryotic large subunit ribosomal RNA", at positions 127 to 932 of the family's 3401-position model. The record is from RNAcentral. Lineage: Eukaryota; Fungi; Basidiomycota; Agaricomycetes; Agaricales; Agaricaceae.